GUCUGAAUAUGGGGGGACCAUCCUCCAAGGCUAAAUACUCCUGACUGACCGAUAGUGAACCAGUACCGUGAGGGAAAGGCGAAAAGAACCCCGGCGAGGGGAGUGAAAAAGAACCUGAAACCGUGUACGUACAAGCAGUGGGAGCACAGGUUUACCUGUGUGACUGCGUACCUUUUGUAUAAUGGGUCAGCGACUUAUAUUCUGUAGCAAGGUUAACCGAAUAGGGGAGCCGGAGGGAAACCGAGUCUUAAUUGGGCGUUAAGUUGCAGGGUAUAGACCCGAAACCCGGUGAUCUAGCCAUGGGCAGGUUGAAGGUUGGGUAACACUAACUGGAGGACCGAACCGACUAAUGUUGAAAAAUUAGCGGAUGACCUGUGGCUGGGGGUGAAAGGCCAAUCAAACCGGGAGAUAGCUGGUUCUCCCCGAAAGCUAUUUAGGUAGCGCCUCGUGAAUUCAUCUCCGGGGGUAGAGCACUGUUUCGGCUAGGGGGCCAUCCCGGCUUACCAACCCGAUGCAAACUGCGAAUACCGGAGAAUGUUAUCACGGGAGACACACGGCGGGUGCUAACGUCCGUCGUGAAGAGGGAAACAACCCAGACCGCCAGCUAAGGUCCCAAAGUCAUGGUUAAGUGGGAAACGAUGUGGGAAGGCCCAGACAGCCAGGAUGUUGGCUUAGAAGCAGCCAUCAUUUAAAGAAAGCGUAAUAGCUCACUGGUCGAGUCGGCCUGCGCGGAAGAUGUAACGGGGCUAAACCAUGCACCGAAGCUGCGGCAGCGACGCUGAUGCGUUGUUGGGUAGGGGAGCGUUCUGUAAGCCUGCGAAGGUGGCCUGUGAGGGUUGCUGGAGGUAUCAGAAGUGCGAAUGCUGACAUAAGUAACGAUAAAGCGGGUGAAAAGCCCGCUCGCCGGAAGACCAAGGGUUCCUGUCCAACGUUAAUCGGGGCAGGGUGAGUCGACCCCUAAGGCGAGGCCGAAAGGCGUAGUCGAUGGGAAACGGGUUAAUAUUCCCGUACUUGGUGUUACUGCGAAGGGGGGACGGAGAAGGCUAUGUUGGCCGGGCGACGGUUGUCCCGGUUUAAGCGUGUAGGUGUGUGUUCCAGGUAAAUCCGGUUCACUUUAACACUGAGGCGUGAUGACGAGGCACUACGGUGCUGAAGCAACAAAUGCCCUGCUUCCAGGAAAAGCCUCUAAGCAUCAGGUAACAUCAAAUCGUACCCCAAACCGACACAGGUGGUCAGGUAGAGAAUACCAAGGCGCUUGAGAGAACUCGGGUGAAGGAACUAGGCAAAAUGGUGCCGUAACUUCGGGAGAAGGCACGCUGACACGUAGGUGAAGUGAUUUACUCAUGGAGCUGAAGUCAGUCGAAGAUACCAGCUGGCUGCAACUGUUUAUUAAAAACACAGCACUGUGCAAACACGAAAGUGGACGUAUACGGUGUGACGCCUGCCCGGUGCCGGAAGGUUAAUUGAUGGGGUCAGCGCAAGCGAAGCUCCUGAUCGAAGCCCCGGUAAACGGCGGCCGUAACUAUAACGGUCCUAAGGUAGCGAAAUUCCUUGUCGGGUAAGUUCCGACCUGCACGAAUGGCGUAAUGAUGGCCAGGCUGUCUCCACCCGAGACUCAGUGAAAUUGAACUCGCUGUGAAGAUGCAGUGUACCCGCGGCAAGACGGAAAGACCCCGUGAACCUUUACUAUAGCUUGACACUGAACAUUGAGCCUUGAUGUGUAGGAUAGGUGGGAGGCUUUGAAGUGUGGACGCCAGUCUGCAUGGAGCCGACCUUGAAAUACCACCCUUUAAUGUUUGAUGUUCUAACGUGGACCCGUAAUCCGGGUUGCGGACAGUGUCUGGUGGGUAGUUUGACUGGGGCGGUCUCCUCCUAAAGAGUAACGGAGGAGCACGAAGGUUGGCUAAUCCUGGUCGGACAUCAGGAGGUUAGUGCAAUGGCAUAAGCCAGCUUGACUGCGAGCGUGACGGCGCGAGCAGGUGCGAAAGCAGGUCAUAGUGAUCCGGUGGUUCUGAAUGGAAGGGCCAUCGCUCAACGGAUAAAAGGUACUCCGGGGAUAACAGGCUGAUACCGCCCAAGAGUUCAUAUCGACGGCGGUGUUUGGCACCUCGAUGUCGGCUCAUCACAUCCUGGGGCUGAAGUAGGUCCCAAGGGUAUGGCUGUUCGCCAUUUAAAGUGGUACGCGAGCUGGGUUUAGAACGUCGUGAGACAGUUCGGUCCCUAUCUGCCGUGGGCGCUGGAGAACUGAGGGGGGCUGCUCCUAGUACGAGAGGACCGGAGUGGACGCAUCACUGGUGUUCGGGUUGUCAUGCCAAUGGCACUGCCCGGUAGCUAAAUGCGGAAGAGAUAAGUGCUGAAAGCAUCUAAGCACGAAACUUGCCCCGA
Molecule: ribosomal RNA, 2385 nt
Filed under: Salmonella enterica subsp. enterica serovar Chester
Lineage: Bacteria; Pseudomonadati; Pseudomonadota; Gammaproteobacteria; Enterobacterales; Enterobacteriaceae
Description: partial 23S ribosomal RNA
Rfam family: Bacterial large subunit ribosomal RNA
Source: RNAcentral